This 164-nucleotide ribosomal RNA is filed under the name Lithocarpus revolutus. RNAcentral's name for it is "5.8S ribosomal RNA". It matches the Rfam family "5.8S ribosomal RNA". From Rfam's summary of the family: 5.8S ribosomal RNA (5.8S rRNA) is a component of the large subunit of the eukaryotic ribosome. It is transcribed by RNA polymerase I as part of the 45S precursor that also contains 18S and 28S rRNA. The record is from RNAcentral. Lineage: Eukaryota; Viridiplantae; Streptophyta; Magnoliopsida; Fagales; Fagaceae.
CUCUCGGCAACGGAUAUCUAGGCUCUCGCAUCGAUGAAGAACGUAGCGAAAUGCGAUACUUGGUGUGAAUUGCAGAAUCCCGCGAAUCAUCGAGUUUUUGAACGCAAGUUGCGCCCGAGGCCUCGGCCGAGGGCACGUCUGCCUGGGCGUCACGCACCGUUGCC